AUUGAACGCUGGCGGAAUGCUUUACACACGCAAGUCGAACGGCAGCACGGACUUCGGUCUGGUGGCGAGUGGCGAACGGGUGAGUAAUGUAUCGGAACGUGCCCAGUCGUGGGGGAUAACGUAGUGAAAAUUACGCUAAUACCGCAUACGAUCUAUGGAUGAAAGCGGGGGAUCGCAAGACCUCGCGCGAUUGGAGCGGCCGAUAUCAGAUUAGGUAGUUGGUGGGGUAAAGGCCCACCAAGCCAACGAUCUGUAGCUGGUCUGAGAGGACGACCAGCCACACUGGAACUGAGACACGGUCCAGACUCCUACGGGAGGCAGCAGUGGGGAAUUUUGGACAAUGGGCGAAAGCCUGAUCCAGCCAUUCCGCGUGCAGGAUGAAGGCCCUCGGGUUGUAAACUGCUUUUGUACAGAACGAAAAGGUUUCUACUAAUACUAGGAGCUCAUGACGGUACUGUAAGAAUAAGCACCGGCUAACUACGUGCCAGCAGCCGCAGUUAA
Molecule: ribosomal RNA, 501 nt
Filed under: uncultured bacterium
Lineage: Bacteria
Description: partial 16S ribosomal RNA
Rfam family: Bacterial small subunit ribosomal RNA
Source: RNAcentral